GGACUGCCUUUUGCAUAAUGAGCCUGCGAGUUGUGGUGUCUGGCAAGGUUAAGCAAACGCGAAGCCGUAGCGAAAGCGAGUCUGAAUAGGGCGCUUAGUCAGAUGCUGCAGACCCGAAACGAAGUGAUCUAUCCAUGAGCAAGUUGAAGCUAGUGUAAGAACUAGUGGAGGACUGAACCCAUAGGCGUUGAAAAGCCCCGGGAUGACUUGUGGAUAGGGGUGAAAGGCCAAUCAAACUUCGUGAUAGCUGGUUCUCUCCGAAAUAUAUUUAGGUAUAGCGUUGUGUCGUAAUAUAAGGGGGUAGAGCACUGAAUGGGCUAGGGCAUACACCAAUGUACCAAACCCUAUCAAACUCCGAAUACCUUAUAUGUAAUCACAGCAGUCAGGCGGCGAGUGAUAAAAUCCGUCGUCAAGAGGGAAACAACCCAGACUACCAGCUAAGGUCCCUAAAUCUUACUUAAGUGGAAAACGAUGUGAAGUUACUUAAACAACCAGGAGGUUGGCUUAGAAGCAGCCAUCCUUUAAAGAAAGCGUAAUAGCUCACUGGUCUAGUGAUUUUGCGCGGAAAAUAUAACGGGGCUAAAGUAAGUACCGAAGCUGUAGACUUAGUUUACUAAGUGGUAGGAGAGCGUUCUAUUUGCGUCGAAGGUAUACCGGUAAGGAGUGCUGGAGCGAAUAGAAGUGAGCAUGCAGGCAUGAGUAGCGAUAAUUAAUGUGAGAAUCAUUAACGCCGUAAACCCAAGGUUUCCUACGCGAUGCUCGUCAUCGUAGGGUUAGUCGGGUCCUAAGUCGAGUCCGAAAGGGGUAGACGAUGGCAAAUUGGUUAAUAUUCCAAUACCAACAUUAGUGUGCGAUGGAAGGACGCUUAGGGCUAAGGGGGCUAGCGGAUGGAAGUGCUAGUCUAAGGUCGUAGGAGGUUAUACAGGCAAAUCCGUAUAACAAUACUCCGAGAACUGAAAGGCUUUUUGAAGUCUUCGGAUGGAUAGAAGAACCCCUGAUGCCGUCGAGCCAAGAAAAGUUUCUAAGUUUAGCUAAUGUUGCCCGUACCGUAAACCGACACAGGUGGGUGGGAUGAGUAUUCUAAGGCGCGUGGAAGAACUCUCUUUAAGGAACUCUGCAAAAUAGCACCGUA
RNAcentral lists this ribosomal RNA (1132 nucleotides) under Campylobacter jejuni. RNAcentral's name for it is "partial 23S ribosomal RNA". It matches the Rfam family "Bacterial large subunit ribosomal RNA", at positions 598 to 1732 of the family's 2925-position model. Lineage: Bacteria; Pseudomonadati; Campylobacterota; Epsilonproteobacteria; Campylobacterales; Campylobacteraceae. The record is from RNAcentral.